UACGGAGGUUGCGAGCGUUGUCCGGAAUCACUGGGCGUAAAGGGCGCGUAGGCGGUCUGCUAAGCGUGUGGUGAAAGCUCGGGGCUCAACCCCGAGUCUGCCAUGCGAACUGGUGGACUGGAGCACUGUAGAGGCAGGUGGAAUUCCCGGUGUAGCGGUGGAAUGCGUAGAGAUCCCGAAGAACACCAGUGGCGAAGGCGGACUGCUGGGCAGUUGCUGACGCUGAGGCGCGACAGCGUGGGGAGCAAACAGG
RNAcentral lists this ribosomal RNA (253 nucleotides) under uncultured bacterium. Its description in RNAcentral is "partial 16S ribosomal RNA". It matches the Rfam family "Bacterial small subunit ribosomal RNA", at positions 524 to 776 of the family's 1533-position model. The record is from RNAcentral.